UUUUUUUUUUUUUUGCUGCAACUGUAGCACGUGUAAGCUCUCAGGCCAGGGGUUGAACCCGCGUCACAGCAGGGCCCUGUGAGCCAUGUAGAGCUUGUGGACUUCUUUCAAUGGAGUAGUUAUACUAUUAAAUGGAUAAGGCAUUUCUCUAGUAUUUUACAAUUUUUAACCAGAUAUUUCAUACAAUUGAAAAGGUUGGCGAGCUAUACAGGUUUAAAUGAGAUCAUUCAUACUAUGCCCUUCACACAGUACUUGGUAUGAGAUAAAUGCUGGAGAAACUGAGCCAUGACUGUCAUUUACUAGCUGGGGUCCCCCCAUCACCUAAGGCAAGUGUGUGUCAAGAUCUGCUUGUGCUUCUGUGCUCAGAGAGCCUGUCACCCCUCCACCUGGGCUGUACCUGAUAGUGGGCUGCUGGUGCUCCUGCACAAGCAGCUGUCACCACACCUGCCAAGACAGCACAGGCUCUAUAUGUCCCCCAACACUGAGGGCAGGAUCUGAGGAGAAACUCCUGGCUGUGCCAGGGUCCACUGGGAUCUAUAGGUGCUUCUGUGCUGCCACGGGCCUGAGAGCUGCUUGUGCUCCCUUAAUAGGCAGUGGCAGAGGGCGUGUCUCCACUGCUGCCAUUCAUCCCAGGGUUCCCCACUCCUCUCUGGUAGGUCAGAGCCCCCUCCCAACACAGCCUGGCACAGCUCUCAGGCCCCGUGCCUGCUGAGGCUUAGAAUCAAGGUAGCAGCGCCUUUGCUGCCCCCUUACAGCCUCAGAGAGAUGCUACCUACACCCUGAUUUUCCAGUUAAAAUCUAGCUCUGAAAAGUCCUCAUGUCCACUGGGCAGAACCACUGCAUUCAAGCCGAGUGCAGCUGAGAGGUCCACAGAAUCUGUUUAUAAACCUGAGAGGACAGGAUGGGCAUUCUUUAGGUAGUAGCCCUCCUUUCUCCAAGAAUUAUCAGGAGAUAGGAGACCUUCAGGCAUUUCUUCAUGGUCAGAAUGAGGGGUGAUCCCUAGGAAUUUUAUAUUCAAGAGCCUCGAGAAGUAUGUUGACCUGGGGACUCCCAUUGUUCCAGUGCAGAUCUGAGUGGUAGCAGCAGCAGGCUGCACAUGCUGCCAGGAUGGGUCAGGGACUCAGGCACAACAAGAAAACAGGAGAAGCCCCCUCUCCGUUCCUGCAGCACCUGGCACCUAACUGCCAGAACAGGAGCACAGGGGCCCCAGGCACAGAGCACACCCCACACUCCUGUUUCAAAGACAGGGAUGUUUCAUGUAUAUGACAUCACCCUGUUCAACAUACAGGAACCCAAAACUACCUCUGCUCUUGAUGACAAAAACUCAUAAUUCAGGACACAAAUCGUGUGUGUGUAGGGGUAGAAGUCCUGUUCGUCCGUUGGUCUCCUUUAAAAGGACAACUCGGAUGAAAUCAUCUGUGUAUUCUAAGAGCUCACAGGUAAUAGAACCACCAGUAAGGAGCGAGAACAUGGCAGGUACCCAAUAGGUGGGCUGACAGAGCAUGACUGCAUCUUGGGGAACAGCUCACCUGCUCCUCCUGUUAACACCUGUGAACAGUACUGUGGGGGCCUUGGGGCUGCAUCAGGAACCCCAGGUCUGCCACCCACCUGACCCCCUAACUCACCAUCACAGGCACAGCCACUGAAGCCCAGGCCCCUGAUAAGGUGAAGAGCAGACUGUUACAGACUAAGCAGGAUGGGCAGUGAAGGACUGGGCAGUGUGGCGCCAGGGACACCUCAUCUAGUCUGAGCAUGAAGGGAUGAUGGCCGGGGGAGGGGCUCCAGCAUGAGGACGUGUGGAGAGCAGGGCCACUGCACCCUUGGGAGGACAGCUGGUUGUGGGGUGCAGAGCCAGGAGGCAGGUGGAGGGAGACAGGCUGAGGCCCACAGGACAUGCUAGGCAGGGCUGCACACACUAUAGACACUCGACAGUCAGAACUUCUCCAUAUUGGAAUAACUGUCUCAAAAUAAGUUUUAAGAUGUUUUUAGAAAAAA
This 1995-nucleotide long non-coding RNA is filed under the name Sus scrofa (pig). RNAcentral's name for it is "lncRNA (ENSSSCG00065034084.1)". The record is from RNAcentral. Lineage: Eukaryota; Metazoa; Chordata; Mammalia; Artiodactyla; Suidae.